UACGGAGGGUGCAAGCGUUAUCCGGAUUCACUGGGUUUAAAGGGUGCGUAGGCGGGUAUGUAAGUCAGUGGUGAAAUCCCCGAGCUUAACUUGGGAACUGCCAUUGAUACUAUUAAUCUUGAAUACCGUGGAGGUUAGCGGAAUAUGUCAUGUAGCGGUGAAAUGCUUAGAUAUGACAUAGAACACCAAUUGCGAAGGCAGCUGGCUACACGAAUAUUGACACUGAUGCACGAAAGCGUGGGGAUCAAACAGG
Molecule: ribosomal RNA, 253 nt
Filed under: uncultured bacterium
Lineage: Bacteria
Description: partial 16S ribosomal RNA
Rfam family: Bacterial small subunit ribosomal RNA
Source: RNAcentral